UUUAUGAACAGAGCCGCCUGUUUUCCCGGCAGAGAUAAAUCAUCUGAGCCGGCAGAAACAAAGGAAGAAUCUUGUCCUGCUUUACACAGAGGCCACAGUGACAUUUCUUCUUUCUCCCCACCCCCACUUCCUUUUUUAAAGUAUAAUGUACACUUAGUGAAAUAUGUAAGUAUACAGCUGGGUAAUUCUUUUUUUUUAAGUUUAUUUAUUUAUUUUGAGAGAAAGAGAGCACGAUCAGGAGAGGGGCAGAGAGAGAGAGAGAGAGAGAGAAUCCCUAUCUGCAUUGUCAGCCCCACGAAGGGGCUCGAACUCACAAACUGUGAGAUCAUGACCUCAGCCAAAAUCAAUAGUAGGAUGCUUAACCGACUGAGCCACCAAGGCACCUCUAUAGCUGGAUAAUUCUUCACAUAUUUGUACACACAUGUAACUAUUGCCUGUGUGAAGAUAGUGGGGGCUCAUCACUAUUGCCCCUUUGGGACAAGGUAACCCCUGUUCUAGAACCUCAUGUAAAUGGAGUUCACUGUAUGUUUUAUUUGGGUAAGUGGGUAAGUCUUCUUCUUCUUCUUCUUCUUUUUAAUUUUUUUUUUUUUUUUUUUUUUUUUUUUUUUUUUUUUUUAGUAUUCUCUACACCCAACAUGGGGCUGGAACUCACAACCCCAAGAUCAAGAGUUGCAUGCUGCACCCACUGAGCCAGCCAGGUGCCCCUGCAUAAGGUUUCUUGAGCUCCACAAAAGUUUUUUUAAAUUUUUUUUUGUUUUUUUUUUUUUUUUUUUUUUUUUCAUUUUUUUUUAUUUUUUUUCAACAUUUAUUUAUUUUUGGGACAGAGAGAGACAGAGCAUGAACGGGGGAGGGGCAGAGAGAGAGGGAGACACAGAAUCAGAAACAGUCUCCAGGCUCCGAGCCAUCAGCCCAGAGCCAGACGUGGGGCUCGAACUCACGGACCGUGAGAUCGUGACCUGGCUGAAGUCGGACGCUUAACCGACUGCGCCACCCAGGCGCCCCUAAAUUUUUUUUUCAACGUUUAUUUAUUUUUGGGACAGAGAGAGACAGAGCAUGAAUGGGGAGGGGCAGAGAGAGAGGGAGACACAGAAUCGGAAAACAGGCUCCAGGUUCUGAGCCAUCAGCCCAGAGCCAGACGUGGGGCUCGAACUCACAAAACUGUGAGAUCAUGACCUCAGCCAAAAUCAAUAGUAGGAUGCUUAACCGACUGCGCCACCCAGGCGCCCCCUCCACAAAAGUUUUUGAGAUUCAUCCACGCAGCUGCAGAUGCCAAUAGUUGGCUUGUUCUCACUGCUGUGUAAUAUUCCAUGGGGUGAGUGAACCACUCAUUUUUUUUCUGCUCUCUUCUUUGUGGAUAUUCGCAUUAAUUCCCAGAUUUUGAUCAUAUUAAAAAGCAAGU
RNAcentral lists this long non-coding RNA (1399 nucleotides) under Felis catus (domestic cat). RNAcentral's name for it is "lncRNA (ENSFCAG00000047262.1)". The record is from RNAcentral. Lineage: Eukaryota; Metazoa; Chordata; Mammalia; Carnivora; Felidae.